UACGUAGGGGGCAAGCGUUGUCCGGAUUUAUUGGGCGUAAAGAGCGUGUAGGCGGCCACGCAGGUCCGUUGUGAAAACUAGAGGCUCAACCUCUAGACGUCGACGGAAACCGUGUGGCUAGAGUCCGGAAGAGGAGAGUGGAAUUCCUGGUGUAGCGGUGAAAUGCGCAGAUAUCAGGAAGAACACCAAUGGCGAAGGCAGCUCUCUGGGACGGUACUGACGCUGAGACGCGAAAGCGUGGGGAGCGAACAGG
Molecule: ribosomal RNA, 253 nt
Filed under: uncultured bacterium
Lineage: Bacteria
Description: partial 16S ribosomal RNA
Rfam family: Bacterial small subunit ribosomal RNA
Source: RNAcentral